This 423-nucleotide unclassified non-coding RNA is filed under the name Chytridiomycota sp. RNAcentral describes it as "partial contains small subunit ribosomal RNA, internal transcribed spacer 1, and 5.8S ribosomal RNA". The stretch from base 1 to 47 matches the Rfam family "Eukaryotic small subunit ribosomal RNA", at positions 1785 to 1831 of the family's 1831-position model. Lineage: Eukaryota; Fungi; Chytridiomycota. The record is from RNAcentral.
AAAGUCGUAACAAGGUAACCGUAGGUGAACCUGCGGUUGGAUCAUUAGAAAAAGGCCAUCAAGGGUCUCAACACAAGGGAUGACUGUGGGUAGGUGAAUUGAGGGUCUAACUUGCUAUUUUGCGGGGCUGGCGAUUGAUUCACUUAUGGGCCACUGUAAAUUCUGUGGUUGCUUGAUUCCUUGAUGGAUGGAUGCAUUCCAUAACCCAAACUGUGAACUGUUGACGUCUCUGGCGGUUGAAGGGGUUACUUUGUCUCCCCUUUUAGUUCAUUUGCUUCCAUUUUUGUGGGUCGAUGAACGAAGCCGUCAACCCGAUUGCACAACUCUGUACAAUAUGCCCUGUUGGGCUUUUCACUGACAUUUUACUUAGUAUUGUAUAUGUGAAUUACAAAACAACUUUUGGCAACGGAUCUCUUGGCUCUC